Molecule: ribosomal RNA, 439 nt
Filed under: uncultured bacterium
Lineage: Bacteria
Description: partial 16S ribosomal RNA
Rfam family: Bacterial small subunit ribosomal RNA
Source: RNAcentral
CCUACGGGAGGCAGCAGUGGGGGAUAUUGCACAAUGGGGGGAACCCUGAUGCAGCGACGCCGCGUGGGUGAAGAAGCGUUUCGGCGCGUAAAGCUCUAUCGGCAGGGAAGAAGAUGACGGUACCUGACCAAGAAGCCCGGUUAACUAUGUGCCAGCAGCCGCGGUAAUACGGAGGGGGCCAGCGUUAUCCGGAUUUACUGGGUGUAAAGGGGGCGCAGACGGCAGUGCAAGCCAGGAGUGAAAGCCCGGGGCGCAACCCUGGGACUGCUCUUGGAACUGGGUGGCUGGAGUUCAGGAGGGGUAGGCGGAAUUCCUAGUGUAGCGGUGAAAUGCGUAGAUAUUAGGAGGAACACCGGUGGCGAAGGCGGCUUACUGGACUGUAACUGACGUUGAGGCCCGAAGGCGUGGGGAGCAAACAGGAUUAGAUACCCCGGUAGUC